ACCAGUGUGGUGUAGUGGUUUUUGUGUUGGGCUACAACUCUGGAGACCAGGGUUCAAUUUCCUGCUCAGGCA
This is a non-coding RNA of Phrynosoma platyrhinos (Desert horned lizard), 72 nucleotides long. The record is from the annotation of a GenBank genome assembly. Lineage: Eukaryota; Metazoa; Chordata; Lepidosauria; Squamata; Phrynosomatidae.